AUAAUAGUUUAGUUAGAAUAUAAGUUUACUAAACUCACCAUUUUCUUUUAAGUAAAAUUGUAUAUAAUUUUCUAUAAUAUGUCAGUACAGAAGACUGAAAUGAUUGGUCCCUUAAAACAUCUGAAAAACAUUUAAAUAGAUGUAAAGUCAGGGAAUUGGUGUACCUGCCUGAUGACAGUUUAAAAGAGACAUGGCUGAUACAGCUGUAGCAGAGCAGCAUGCAGACUUCGUUGCUUGAAGAUUCCUGUAUGCAGCAGGUUCAUUAUAGCAGAGUUUUUAAACCACUCUGCUGAUAGUCAUCAGGAUCAUUUGGACUUCUUAUGAGAGGCUGAUGUGUGCUCUGCAGUGCAAGUCCCAGGC
Molecule: long non-coding RNA, 360 nt
Filed under: Anas platyrhynchos platyrhynchos (common mallard)
Lineage: Eukaryota; Metazoa; Chordata; Aves; Anseriformes; Anatidae
Description: lncRNA (ENSAPLG00000017202.1)
Source: RNAcentral